AUGCAGGGGAUGAAAGGGAUGCUGGAGAGCAGCACAGGAAGAUGCAGAUGAUGCUCGAAGGCAGCGUGGGGGAUGCAGGGGAUGCCCGGGAUGCUCAGGGCAGGAUAGAGAUGCUGGAACACGUCUGGGGGACAGGACAGGGGAUGCUGGAGUGAUGACAGGGGGUCCUCAGGGACGUGAGGAAGACCAGGAGAUACUGAAGAGUCUGGAGCAGAUCUGACGGGGUUUUCUCGACCUCCAGAAGCUCAGCUGUCCCCCCGAGCGGACCCACGUCCAUCAGCCGCAAACCAAAAGAGCCAAAUCCUUUCUUAAUAUAGCAAAAAAUAUCUUUAUCCCGCCCGAACGUCCUCAGCCGUGUUUGAGGCACUUAACUGCCGACACCGCUGAAACAGUUAAAGUAUUUAGGACACCGUAGAAUGGCCAAAAACUUGGGAAAAACAAGGCGGAUUGGAGAAAGGUCAUCUGAGGCUGGGACUGGGAGAAUUCUCUUCUUUGAAAUCCCCAGCAGAGUUGAGAAGCCGGUACCAACCCUCCUGUUCCCAUGGACUGAGGUCAGCCACAUCCAAAUUUGCUGGGAAUUCUGUAUGUGCAUGCAGACACUUGUUUUCCCAUUUAAAAAAAAAAAUAAAAAGGAGAAAAAUAUAAGUCUGUAAUUGAAGCUGCUGAGACUGCAGUUUCGGAGCAGCCCUGCUGUGAUGUAUCAGUUCCUUCUUCUUCAUUUUCCAGCUUCCCCAGCAUCCUGUUGUGCACAAAUAUAUGUCUGUGCUGCAUCUUUCCCACUCUCCCCCACCACUAAUUCUUGGAUUCUUAGUGAUUAUGCCUGUAUUGCUUAUUUUGCAAGAUGUCUGAUUAUUUGUUUGAAAUAAUAUUGUAUUAUUUUUUAACAGUUCCAAUGGCAAUGUUUGGAAUAUAUGUUUUUUAAGCUCUAGUGUGUUUCUGUACAAAGGCAUUUUUGGCUCCUUAUAUAUUUUGGGCAUUAUUACUGAUUCCAGAGUAAGAUCUCUGCUGUUAAAGCCCUUAGUCAUAUAGUUUUUAUUAUUUGUAUUCCCAAAGAAGUCUAAAUGUGAGAGAGAAUCUCAGCAUCAUGUGAAUACAUGUAAACAAAUGGACUGUCCCACAGAUGUGAGAAAUGGGAAUGACCUCUAACACGAUUUGUUACAUUUGUGUUUUUGUGCUGUAACUGAGCAGGGCAGUUCCCCGUGAUUAACUACCCACGUCAAAGACGCCAAAGUCUUGUUCUGCUUUAUUAGUUCUGUCCAAACAAGAUCACUCCAUUUAGAUCUUAUUAAAGUUUGUUUAUUUUUCUAGCUGUGGAGAGGGAAAAAUCACCAGGCAGGGAGGCUUUUUUUUUUAUUUGAAUAUUUUAAUUCAGGGAGGAGUCCCUCAGCUUCUCUGACGUUGGCCAACCCAUGUCCUGAAGUCAUGUUUCAGCUGAUUGCUCAGACAAUUAAACUCUCACGUGCUAUUAAAGACUCUGGAACCUGCUAUCACUCUUCCAGUUCAGAUCUCCAGUGACCAACUGCAGAUUGGAGCUUCAGCCCUUUUCCACAUUCCCAGAAAAGGGAGAAAAUUUCAAUCCAGGAAAGGUAAUUCAUGUCAGACCCUCAUAUCUUGAGUUUUCCUCAGUUAUCCAGAAUCUGAUGCAAAGAAAAU
Molecule: long non-coding RNA, 1653 nt
Organism: Manacus vitellinus (golden-collared manakin)
Lineage: Eukaryota; Metazoa; Chordata; Aves; Passeriformes; Pipridae
Source: Ensembl